AGUGAACACUGGCGGCGUGCUUAACACAUGCAAGUCGAACGAGAACGGAUUAUAGCUUGCUAUAAUUGUCAGCUAAGUGGCGCACGGGUGAGUAAUGUAUAGGUAAUAUGCCUCUUACUAAGGGAUAACAAAUGGAAACGUUUGCUAAUACCUUAUACUCCUUAUUAACAGAAGUUAAUAAGGGAAAGAUUUAUUGGUAAGAGAUUAGCCUGUAUUGUAUCAGUUAGUUGGUGGGGUAAUGGCUUACCAAGACUAUGACACAUAACUGGUUUGAGAGGAUGAACAGUCACACUGGAACUGAGACACGGUCCAGACUCCUACGGGAGGCAGCAGUGGGGAAUAUUGCACAAUGGACGAAAGUCUGAUGCAGCAGCGCCGCGUGGAGGAUGACACAUUUCGGUGCGUAAACUCCUUUUAUAUGAGAAGAUAAUGACGGUAUUAUAUGAAUAAGCACCAGCUAACUCCGUGCCAGCCGCCGCCGUAA
RNAcentral lists this ribosomal RNA (484 nucleotides) under uncultured bacterium. RNAcentral describes it as "partial 16S ribosomal RNA". It matches the Rfam family "Bacterial small subunit ribosomal RNA", at positions 29 to 523 of the family's 1533-position model. The record is from RNAcentral.